AGGGCUGUGGCUCAGUGGUAGAGCACUUGCUUUGCAUGCAUGAGGCCCUGGGUUCGAUCUCCAGCUCUA
This 69-nucleotide transfer RNA is filed under the name Cavia porcellus (domestic guinea pig). It matches the Rfam family "tRNA". Rfam says of the family: Transfer RNA (tRNA) molecules are approximately 80 nucleotides in length. Their secondary structure includes four short double-helical elements and three loops (D, anti-codon, and T loops). The record is from Rfam by way of RNAcentral. Lineage: Eukaryota; Metazoa; Chordata; Mammalia; Rodentia; Caviidae.